CACUCACAAGAUUAAUAACGCGUUUCCUGUAGGAUGGAAACAUAGAUUAAGUUAUACGAUAUGCUUUGGGGAGCUGUAAGUAAGCUUUGAUCCAGAGAUUUCCGAAUGGGGAAACCCAGCAUGAGUUAUGUCAUGUUAUCGAUAUGUGAAUACAUAGCAUAUCAGAAGGCACACCCGGAGAACUGAAACAUCUUAGUACCCGGAGGAAGAGAAAGAAAAUUCGAUUCCCUUAGUAGCGGCGAGCGAAACGGGAAGAGCCCAAACCAACAAGCUUGCUUGUUGGGGUUGUAGGACACUCUAUACGGAGUUACAAAGGACGACAUUAGACGAAUCAUCUGGAAAGAUGAAUCAAAGAAGGUAAUAAUCCUGUAGUCGAAAAUGUUGUCUCUCUUGAGUGGAUCCUGAGUACGACGGAGCACGUGAAAUUCCGUCGGAAUCUGGGAGGACCAUCUCCUAAGGCUAAAUACUCUCUAGUGACCGAUAGUGAACCAGUACCGUGAGGGAAAGGUGAAAAGCACCCCGGAAGGGGAGUGAAAUAGAACCUGAAACCGUGUGCUUACAAGUAGUCAGAGCCCGUUAAUGGGUGAUGGCGUGCCUUUUGUAGAAUGAACCGGCGAGUUACGAUUUGAUGCAAGGUUAAGCAGUAAAUGUGGAGCCGUAGCGAAAGCGAGUCUGAAUAGGGCGUUUAGUAUUUGGUCGUAGACCCGAAACCAGGUGAUCUACCCUUGGUCAGGUUGAAGUUCAGGUAACACUGAAUGGAGGACCGAACCGACUUACGUUGAAAAGUGAGCGGAUGAACUGAGGGUAGCGGAGAAAUUCCAAUCGAACCUGGAGAUAGCUGGUUCUCUCCGAAAUAGCUUUAGGGCUAGCCUCAAGUGAUGAUUAUUGGAGGUAGAGCACUGUUUGGACGAGGGGCCCCUCUCGGGUUACCGAAUUCAGACAAACUCCGAAUGCCAAUUAAUUUAACUUGGGAGUCAGAACAUGGGUGAUAAGGUCCRUGUUCGAAAGGGAAACAGCCCAGACCACCAGCUAAGGUCCCAAAAUAUAUGUUAAGUGGAAAAGGAUGUGGCGUUGCCCAGACAACUAGGAUGUUGGCUUAGAAGCAGCCAUCAUUUAAAGAGUGCGUAAUAGCUCACUAGUCGAGUGACACUGCGCCGAAAAUGUACCGGGGCUAAACAUAUUACCGAAGCUGUGGAUUGUCCUUUGGACAAUGGUAGGAGAGCGUUCUAAGGGCGUUGAAGCAUGAUCGUAAGGACAUGUGGAGCGCUUAGAAGUGAGAAUGCCGGUGUGAGUAGCGAAAGAYGGGUGAGAAUCCCGUCCACCGAUUGACUAAGGUUUCCAGAGGAAGGCUCGUCCGCUCUGGGUUAGUCGGGUCCUAAGCUGAGGCCGACAGGCGUAGGCGAUGGAUAACAGGUUGAUAUUCCUGUACCACCUAUAAUCGUUUUAAUCGAUGGGGGGACGCAGUAGGAUAGGCGAAGCGUGCGAUUGGAUUGCACGUCUAAGCAGUAAGGCUGAGUAUUAGGCAAAUCCGGUACUCGUUAAGGCUGAGCUGUGAUGGGGAGAAGACAUUGUGUCUUCGAGUCGUUGAUUUCACACUGCCGAGAAAAGCCUCUAGAUAGAAAAUAGGUGCCCGUACCGCAAACCGACACAGGUAGUCAAGAUGAGAAUUCUAAGGUGAGCGAGCGAACUCUCGUUAAGGAACUCGGCAAAAUGACCCCGUAACUUCGGGAGAAGGGGUGCUCUUUAGGGUUAACGCCCAGAAGAGCCGCAGUGAAUAGGCCCAAGCGACUGUUUAUCAAAAACACAGGUCUCUGCUAAACCGUAAGGUGAUGUAUAGGGGCUGACGCCUGCCCGGUGCUGGAAGGUUAAGAGGAGUGGUUAGCUUCUGCGAAGCUACGAAUCGAAGCCCCAGUAAACGGCGGCCGUAACUAUAACGGUCCUAAGGUAGCGAAAUUCCUUGUCGGGUAAGUUCCGACCCGCACGAAAGGCGUAACGAUUUGGGCACUGUCUCAACGAGAGACUCGGUGAAAUCAUAGUACCUGUGAAGAUGCAGGUUACCCGCGACAGGACGGAAAGACCCCGUGGAGCUUUACUGUAGCCUGAUAUUGAAAUUCGGCACAGCUUGUACAGGAUAGGUAGGAGCCUUUGAAACGUGAGCGCUAGCUUACGUGGAGGCGCUGGUGGGAUACUACCCUAGCUGUGUUGGCUUUCUAACCCGCACCACUUAUCGUGGUGGGAGACAGUGUCAGGCGGGCAGUUUGACUGGGGCGGUCGCCUCCUAAAAGGUAACGGAGGCGCUCAAAGGUUYCCUCAGAAUGGUUGGAAAUCAUUCAUAGAGUGUAAAGGCAUAAGGGAGCUUGACUGCGAGACCUACAAGUCGAGCAGGGUCGAAAGACGGACUUAGUGAUCCGGUGGUUCCGCAUGGAAGGGCCAUCGCUCAACGGAUAAAAGCUACCCCGGGGAUAACAGGCUUAUCUCCCCCAAGAGUUCACAUCGACGGGGAGGUUUGGCACCUCGAUGUCGGCUCAUCGCAUCCUGGGGCUGUAGUCGGUCCCAAGGGUUGGGCUGUUCGCCCAUUAAAGCGGUACGCGAGCUGGGUUCAGAACGUCGUGAGACAGUUCGGUCCCUAUCCGUCGUGGGCGUAGGAAAUUUGAGAGGAGCUGUCCUUAGUACGAGAGGACCGGGAUGGACAUACCUCUGGUGUACCAGUUGUCGUGCCAACGGCAUAGCUGGGUAGCUAUGUGUGGACGGGAUAAGUGCUGAAAGCAUCUAAGCAUGAAGCCCCCCUCAAGAUGAGAUUUCCCAACUUCGGUUAU
RNAcentral lists this ribosomal RNA (2816 nucleotides) under Staphylococcus aureus. Its description in RNAcentral is "bacterial LSU rRNA". The record is from RNAcentral. Lineage: Bacteria; Bacillati; Bacillota; Bacilli; Caryophanales; Staphylococcaceae.